RNAcentral lists this transfer RNA (87 nucleotides) under Escherichia coli. Its description in RNAcentral is "tRNA-Leu". It matches the Rfam family "tRNA". From Rfam's summary of the family: Transfer RNA (tRNA) molecules are approximately 80 nucleotides in length. Their secondary structure includes four short double-helical elements and three loops (D, anti-codon, and T loops). The record is from RNAcentral. Lineage: Bacteria; Pseudomonadati; Pseudomonadota; Gammaproteobacteria; Enterobacterales; Enterobacteriaceae.
GCGAAGGUGGCGGAAUUGGUAGACGCGCUAGCUUCAGGUGUUAGUGUUCUUACGGACGUGGGGGUUCAAGUCCCCCCCCUCGCACAA